This 253-nucleotide ribosomal RNA is filed under the name uncultured prokaryote. RNAcentral's name for it is "partial 16S ribosomal RNA". It matches the Rfam family "Bacterial small subunit ribosomal RNA", at positions 525 to 777 of the family's 1533-position model. The record is from RNAcentral.
ACGGGGGGGGCAAGCGUUGUUCGGAAUUACUGGGCGUAAAGGGCUCGUAGGCGGCCAACUAAGUCAGACGUGAAAUCCCCCGGCUUAACCUGGGAACUGCGUCUGAUACUGGACGGCUCGAGUUUGGGAGAGGGAUGCAGAAUUCCAGGUGUAGCGGUGAAAUGCGUAGAUAUCUGGAGGAACACCGGUGGCGAAGGCGGCAUCCUGGACCGGUAUUGACGCUGAUGCGCGAAAGCCAGGGGAGCAAACGGGA